GAUGAACGCUGGCGGCGUGCCUAAUACAUGCAAGUCGAGCGAACGGACGAGAAGCUUGCUUCUCUGAUGUUAGCGGCGGACGGGUGAGUAACACGUGGAUAACCUACCUAUAAGACUGGGAUAACUUCGGGAAACCGGAGCUAAUACCGGAUAAUAUUUUGAACCGCAUGGUUCAAAAGUGAAAGACGGUCUUGCUGUCACUUAUAGAUGGAUCCGCGCUGCAUUAGCUAGUUGGUAAGGUAACGGCUUACCAAGGCAACGAUGCAUAGCCGACCUGAGAGGGUGAUCGGCCACACUGGAACUGAGACACGGUCCAGACUCCUACGGGAGGCAGCAGUAGGGAAUCUUCCGCAAUGGGCGAAGGCCUGACGGAGCAACGCCGCGUGAGUGAUGAAGGUCUUCGGAUCGUAAAACUCUGUUAUUAGGGAAGAACAGAUGUGUAAGUAACUGUGCACAUCUUGACGGUACCUAAUCAGAAAGCCCCGGCUAACUACGUG
RNAcentral lists this ribosomal RNA (497 nucleotides) under uncultured bacterium. RNAcentral describes it as "partial 16S ribosomal RNA". It matches the Rfam family "Bacterial small subunit ribosomal RNA", at positions 28 to 507 of the family's 1533-position model. The record is from RNAcentral.